UACGUAGGGGGCUAGCGUUGUCCGGAAUCAUUGGGCGUAAAGCGCGCGUAGGCGGCCCGGUAAGUCCGCUCUGAAAGUCCAGGGCUCAACCCUGGAAAGCGGGUGGAUACUGCCGGGCUAGAAUCCGGAAGAGGCGAGUGGAAUUCCUGGUGUAGCGGUGGAAUGCGUAGAUAUCGAGAGGAACACCUGCGGCGAAGGCGGGUUGCUGGGCUGACACUGACGCUGAUGCGCGAAAGCUAGGGGAGCGAACGGG
RNAcentral lists this ribosomal RNA (253 nucleotides) under uncultured bacterium. Its description in RNAcentral is "partial 16S ribosomal RNA". It matches the Rfam family "Bacterial small subunit ribosomal RNA", at positions 524 to 776 of the family's 1533-position model. The record is from RNAcentral.